GCGGCAGCGGGAAAUAGCUUGCUACUUUUGCCGGCGAGCGGCGGACGGGUGAGUAAUGCCUGGGAAAUUGCCCAGUCGAGGGGGAUAACAGUUGGAAACGACUGCUAAUACCGCAUACGCCCUACGGGGGAAAGCAGGGGACCUUCGGGCCUUGCGCGAUUGGAUAUGCCCAGGUGGGAUUAGCUAGUUGGUGAGGUAAUGGCUCACCAAGGCGACGAUCCCUAGCUGGUCUGAGAGGAUGAUCAGCACACUGGAACUGAGACACGGUCCAGACUCCUACGGGAGGCAGCAGUGGGGAAUAUUGCACAAUGGGGGAAACCCUGAUGCAGCCAUGCCGCGUGUGUGAAGAAGGCCUUCGGGUUGUAAAGCACUUUCAGCGAGGAGGAAAGGUUGAUGCCUAAUACGCAUCAACUGUGACGUUACUCGCAGAAGAAGCACCGGCUAACUCCGUGCCAGCAGCCGCGGUAAUACGGAGGGUGCAAGCGUUAAUCGGAAUUACUGGGCGUAAAGCGCACGCAGGCGGUUGGAUAAGUUAGAUGUGAAAGCCCCGGGCUCAACCUGGGAAUUGCAUUUAAAACUGUCCAGCUAGAGUCUUGUAGAGGGGGGUAGAAUUCCAGGUGUAGCGGUGAAAUGCGUAGAGAUCUGGAGGAAUACCGGUGGCGAAGGCGGCCCCCUGGAC
RNAcentral lists this ribosomal RNA (679 nucleotides) under uncultured bacterium. RNAcentral's name for it is "bacterial SSU rRNA". It matches the Rfam family "Bacterial small subunit ribosomal RNA", at positions 66 to 734 of the family's 1533-position model. The record is from RNAcentral.